GGAAAGAGCUGCAGUAGGAGGACUGGUCCACAGAGUCCUUGUGAGCGGACGGAUAUCAGGAUGGCAAUAGUAGCCGAUCACCUGGGACUUAGUUGGACAGAAGUUCUGGAGUUCUACGACACCAUUAAUAAUCAGGGUGAUGGAAAGGAACUGCCCAGCCUUGUGUCACAUCAGUAAAGUCCAAUGUGGGGGUGCCUACCAAGCAAUGAAGCUUCGCGGUGGUGAUUCUAACAAGACCCUCAAAUCUUGACUCAAUCCAUGACAAGAAAUUUGAUAUUUCCUAGACUGAAUAUACUUUUUAAACAUACAGUCAAAGGCAUUUGAAGACUCCUCUGAGAAUAUACUGAAACAAAUGCUUGAUUUCUUUUAUGACUACAGACCAUACAUAACUAAGCUAUUAAAAAUAUUAAUACC
Molecule: long non-coding RNA, 414 nt
Filed under: Rattus norvegicus (Norway rat)
Lineage: Eukaryota; Metazoa; Chordata; Mammalia; Rodentia; Muridae
Description: long non-coding RNA NONRATT017332
Source: RNAcentral